This 301-nucleotide ribosomal RNA is filed under the name uncultured bacterium. Its description in RNAcentral is "partial 16S ribosomal RNA". It matches the Rfam family "Bacterial small subunit ribosomal RNA", at positions 509 to 807 of the family's 1533-position model. The record is from RNAcentral.
CAGCCGCCGCGGUAAUACGUAGGUGGCAAGCGUUGUCCGGAAUUAUUGGGCGUAAAGGGCUCGCAGGCGGUUUCUUAAGUCUGAUGUGAAAGCCCCCGGCUCAACCGGGGAGGGUCAUUGGAAACUGGGAAACUUGAGUGCAGAAGAGGAGAGUGGAAUUCCACGUGUAGCGGUGAAAUGCGUAGAGAUGUGGAGGAACACCAGUGGCGAAGGCGACUCUCUGGUUUGUAACUGACGCUGAGGCACGAAAGCGUGGGUAGCAAACAGGAUUAGAUACCCCUGUAGUCCCUGUCUCUUAUAC